UAGUACGGAUAAAUCUCAUAGAUUGGAGGAAUGACAAUACCAUAAGUAUCAGGACGAUGAACGAUGGCCACCGAAACGGUGUACAAGAACAUGCCUUCGUUAAUGUAUUGACGAGCCCAAACGGCAAAAUUGUAGAAGGUUUCAAAAUCUUUGGCAUAGUAAAACAUGUCAAAUAAAACUUUGACUUGUUCUA
This is a long non-coding RNA of Aethina tumida (small hive beetle), 193 nucleotides long. RefSeq lists it as uncharacterized. The transcript has 2 exons. Lineage: Eukaryota; Metazoa; Arthropoda; Insecta; Coleoptera; Nitidulidae. The record is from RefSeq and is a predicted model, not a curated record.